RNAcentral lists this ribosomal RNA (497 nucleotides) under uncultured bacterium. Its description in RNAcentral is "partial 16S ribosomal RNA". It matches the Rfam family "Bacterial small subunit ribosomal RNA", at positions 28 to 507 of the family's 1533-position model. The record is from RNAcentral.
GACGAACGCUGGCGGCGUGCCUAAUACAUGCAAGUUGAGCGCUGAAGGUUGGUACUUGUACCAACUGGAUGAGCAGCGAACGGGUGAGUAACGCGUGGGGAAUCUGCCUUUGAGCGGGGGACAACAUUUGGAAACGAAUGCUAAUACCGCAUAAAAACUUUAAACACAAGUUUUAAGUUUGAAAGAUGCAAUUGCAUCACUCAAAGAUGAUCCCGCGUUGUAUUAGCUAGUUGGUGGGGUAAAGGCUCACCAAGGCGAUGAUACAUAGCCGACCUGAGAGGGUGAUCGGCCACAUUGGGACUGAGACACGGCCCAAACUCCUACGGGAGGCAGCAGUAGGGAAUCUUCGGCAAUGGACGAAAGUCUGACCGAGCAACGCCGCGUGAGGGAAGAAGGUUUUCGGAUCGUAAAACUCUGUUGGUAGAGAAGAACGUUGGUGAGAGUGGAAAGCUCAUCAAGUGACGGUAACUACCCAGAAAGGGACGGCUAACUACGUG